AACGCGAAGAACCUUACCUACCCUUGACAUCCUAGGAACCUGGUAGAGAUAUUGGGGUGCCUGAAAGGGAGCCUAGAGACAGGUGCUGCAUGGCUGUCGUCAGCUCGUGUCGUGAGAUGUUGGGUUAAGUCCCGUAACGAGCGCAACCCCUGUCCUUAGUUGCUAACGGGUAAAGCUGAGAACUCUAAGGAGACUGCCGGUGAUAAGCCGGAGGAAGGUGGGGAUGACGUCAAGUCCUCAUGGCCCUUACGGGUAGGGCGACACACGUGCUACAAUGGGCGGUACAAAGGGAAGCGAAACUGUGAAGUGGAGCGAAUCUCGAUAAAGCCGUUCGUAGUCCGGAUUGGAGUCUGCAACUCGACUCCAUGAAGUUGGAAUCGCUAGUAAUCGCGGAUCAGAAUGCCGCGGUGAAUACGUUCCCGGGCCUUGUACACACCGCGAGC
RNAcentral lists this ribosomal RNA (443 nucleotides) under uncultured bacterium. Its description in RNAcentral is "bacterial SSU rRNA". It matches the Rfam family "Bacterial small subunit ribosomal RNA", at positions 958 to 1397 of the family's 1533-position model. The record is from RNAcentral.